This is a long non-coding RNA of Marmota monax (woodchuck), 705 nucleotides long. RefSeq lists it as uncharacterized. The transcript is spliced from 5 exons. Lineage: Eukaryota; Metazoa; Chordata; Mammalia; Rodentia; Sciuridae. The record is from RefSeq and is a predicted model, not a curated record.
CGGCGGCGGGCGGCUGUGAGCGGGGGCUGGUUCCUAGUCCCCGGGAGAAGCCAAGAAGCCUGCCAGGGACGUGCUAGCUGCCUUGCCAAGAGCUAUCCUGGGAGGGCUAUUGAAAGAGCCUGGAGGGAUCCUUGCAACAUGAUACCACAUGAGUCUGUGAGACCUCUUGCAAAGGAUGUCUGGGACAGGGGGCCUGGCCCUCAGACCGUUCAUCACCUACCUGACACAGCCAUAUUUUCAUAAUGACACCUUGCCAUCAGGAAGCUCACCUGUGCUUGCUGGCAGUGAGGAACUCUACAGUCACUUUUCCUCCUUGGGGUGAUUGACAAUAGUUCAAGACCAUGGUCCAAGUACACUUCACAUAGAGAAUGAUGAAUGAUGAGUAUUCCACAGUGUCAAUGUCCUAAGGAAAAUGCCCUGCACAACUAAGGAGCCAGACCAGCCUCUAUCUAUGAGGAGCCCUUGGUUCCCCAAGGGUGGUGAAGAGUAUUGAGGAGACAUCAGGAAUCCUAGGCCCAUACUGUUCUUCAGCGUUGAAAUACGACUGUCAAAAUUGACAUGUGUGAUAAAGGUAAAAUGCAAACUGGAUUUUGAAGAUUUCACUUACAAAUGUAAAGUAUCUUAUGCAUGAUUUUUGUAUCAUUAUAAAUCAGGACAAUGAUAUUUUGACUAUAUUGGUUAAAUAAAAUAUACCAUGGGAAUAAA